RNAcentral lists this long non-coding RNA (260 nucleotides) under Nicotiana benthamiana. Its description in RNAcentral is "long non-coding RNA (NBEN_LNC020765)". Lineage: Eukaryota; Viridiplantae; Streptophyta; Magnoliopsida; Solanales; Solanaceae. The record is from RNAcentral.
UCUCGUCUCUCAAAUUCUCUCAAACUCACCUACACCCUGGCCUCCUACUACCCCUCUUUAACUACCACUCCACUGGAAUCCAUGGCCUACUCACUCCCCCUCCAUCAGUAAAUCAUGAUUGUUCGAAGCUUCCAGACCGGACCUCGAUGGAUCUCCUUCAAAUCCUUCUCAGAUCUGUAGAUCUAUGGCUUCUCUGGCCAUUACCCCGGCAUAUUCAAGCACUAUGAGCCUUUUCGACUCAGGAUCUGACUUUUCUCAAG